This 792-nucleotide ribosomal RNA is filed under the name Triticum aestivum (bread wheat). RNAcentral's name for it is "partial small subunit ribosomal RNA". Lineage: Eukaryota; Viridiplantae; Streptophyta; Magnoliopsida; Poales; Poaceae. The record is from RNAcentral.
AUGCAGCAGCUCACUGUCGUGGCGCCGUUACUCCAGUUCUUGAGAGUGAGAUGGUGCUUUACCAAUGUAGCAUGUGCACUGAAUCCAAGUCAACCAGUAGCCAGGAUCUCAGCCCCUCGCCUGGAGAAGCUUGAAUGGAUGUGUGAUUUUGUUCCUAGCUCUGUCCAGCUUGGUGAGAUGCCACCACAUCUCCGACGCCUUGUCGCUGGAAUCAUCAUGGUAUAUGGACCAGAUUGCAUUGCUCCACAUAACCGUUGUUGCAUCGGCAUUCUGCAGCGCUUUGAGCGUCUCAGUGCUCUCCGUCUCUGCCUUGCCUAUCCGCCGGUCAUAGGUAACCACAAAUACUUGAUGGAAGACAUGACAAGGCUCCCUGACGUUGACUACUUGACCCUAGAUGUAUUUUCAUGUGGACAUUCCUUUGGACCCAGCUCAUUCCAUGUUCUCAGGAUGUGCUCUCGUUUAACAAUACUCAAGAUCAGAUUUUCUUGCCAACUGCCGNNNNNNNNNNNNNNNNNNNNNNNNNNNNNNNNNNNNNNGCCACCAAACUGGAAAACCGAAGAACUCGGGCUGAUCUGGCUUGAAGAAGUACAGAUCUUGAACUUUGCAGGAACUGAACAUGAAGUCGCUUUUCUGAAACGGCUAUUUAGCUGGGCAACAUCGCUGAAAAGGAUGAUGGUAACAUUCCACGGCUCCAUCACUGAGAGAAAGGGAAAAGAGCUACAGCAGCUGUUACUAAGCUUCUCCAGAGCAGAAAUAUGUAUAUGCAUAUUACCAUGUAGUGCUCCAUCUUGA